Molecule: ribosomal RNA, 919 nt
Filed under: uncultured Bacteroidota bacterium
Lineage: Bacteria; Pseudomonadati; Bacteroidota
Description: bacterial SSU rRNA
Rfam family: Bacterial small subunit ribosomal RNA
Source: RNAcentral
GAUCAGACUUUGAUCCUGGCUCAGGAUGAACGCUAGCUACAGGCUUAACACAUGCAAGUCGAGGGGCAGCAUGAACUUAGCUUGCUAAGUUUGAUGGCGACCGGCGCACGGGUGAGUAACACGUAUCCAACCUGCCGAUGACUCGGGGAUAGCCUUUCGAAAGAAAGAUUAAUACCCGAUGGCAUAGUUCUUCCGCAUGGUAGAACUAUUAAAGAAUUUCGGUCAUCGAUGGGGAUGCGUUCCAUUAGGUUGUUGGCGGGGUAACGGCCCACCAAGCCUUCGAUGGAUAGGGGUUCUGAGAGGAAGGUCCCCCACAUUGGAACUGAGACACGGUCCAAACUCCUACGGGAGGCAGCAGUGAGGAAUAUUGGUCAAUGGACGAGAGUCUGAACCAGCCAAGUAGCGUGAAGGAUGACUGCCCUAUGGGUUGUAAACUUCUUUUAUACGGGAAUAAAGUGAGGCACGUGUGCCUUUUUGUAUGUACCGUAUGAAUAAGGAUCGGCUAACUCCGUGCCAGCAGCCGCGGUAAUACGGAGGAUCCGAGCGUUAUCCGGAUUUAUUGGGUUUAAAGGGAGCGUAGGCGGACGCUUAAGUCAGUUGUGAAAGUUUGCGGCUCAACCGUAAAAUUGCAGUUGAUACUGGGUGUCUUGAGUACAGUAGAGGCAGGCGGAAUUCGUGGUGUAGCGGUGAAAUGCUUAGAUAUCACGAAGAACUCCGAUUGCGAAGGCAGCUUGCUGGACUGUAACUGACGCUGAUGCUCGAAAGUGUGGGUAUCAAACAGGAUUAGAUACCCUGGUAGUCCACACAGUAAACGAUGAAUACUCGCUGUUUGCGAUAUACAGUAAGCGGCCAAGCGAAAGCGUUAAGUAUUCCACCUGGGGAGUACGCCGGCAACGGUGCAACUCAAAUGAAUUGACGG